RNAcentral lists this ribosomal RNA (315 nucleotides) under uncultured eukaryote. RNAcentral describes it as "partial 18S ribosomal RNA". It matches the Rfam family "Eukaryotic small subunit ribosomal RNA", at positions 1470 to 1796 of the family's 1831-position model. The record is from RNAcentral.
CCCUUAGAUGUUCUGGGCCGCACGCGCGCUACACUGACUGGUGCAACAAGUGUCGCUCCUUGGCCGAUAGGCCUGGGCAAUCUUUGAACGCCAGUCGUGAUGGGGAUAGAUUCUUGCAAUUUUUGAUCUUCAACGAGGAAUUCCUAGUAAACGCGAGUCAUCAACUCGCAUUGAUUACGUCCCUGCCCUUUGUACACACCGCCCGUCGCACCUACCGAUUGAAUGGUCCGGUGAAGCCUCCGGAUUGGCGCGCACCUCGGUGCCGCCGAGAAGUUGGCUAAACCUUACCAUUUAGAGGAAGGUGAAGUCGUANCA